This 1035-nucleotide ribosomal RNA is filed under the name Grapevine phytoplasma (Italy). Its description in RNAcentral is "bacterial SSU rRNA". It matches the Rfam family "Bacterial small subunit ribosomal RNA", at positions 231 to 1277 of the family's 1533-position model. Lineage: Bacteria; Bacillati; Mycoplasmatota; Mollicutes; Acholeplasmatales; Acholeplasmataceae. The record is from RNAcentral.
CUGCGUCACAUUAGUUAGUUGGUGGGGUAAAGGCCUACCAAGACUAUGAUGUGUAGCCGGGCUGAGAGGUUGAACGGCCACAUUGGGACUGAGACACGGCCCAAACUCCUACGGGAGGCAGCAGUAGGGAAUUUUCGGCAAUGGAGGAAACUCUGACCGAGCAACGCCGCGUGAACGAUGAAGUAUUUCGGUACGUAAAGUUCUUUUAUUAGGGAAGAAUAAAUGAUGGAAAAAUCAUUCUGACGGUACCUAAUGAAUAAGCCCCGGCUAACUAUGUGCCAGCAGCCGCGGUAAUACAUAGGGGGCAAGCGUUAUCCGGAAUUAUUGGGCGUAAAGGGUGCGUAGGCGGUUAAAUAAGUUUAUGGUCUAAGUGCAAUGCUCAACAUUGUGAUGCUAUAAAAACUGUUUAGCUAGAGUAAGAUAGAGGCAAGUGGAAUUCCAUGUGUAGUGGUAAAAUGCGUAAAUAUAUGGAGGAACACCAGUAGCGAAGGCGGCUUGCUGGGUCUUUACUGACGCUGAGGCACGAAAGCGUGGGGAGCAAACAGGAUUAGAUACCCUGGUAGUCCACGCCGUAAACGAUGAGUACUAAACGUUGGGUAAAACCAGUGUUGAAGUUAACACAUUAAGUACUCCGCCUGAGUAGUACGUACGCAAGUAUGAAACUUAAAGGAAUUGACGGGACUCCGCACAAGCGGUGGAUCAUGUUGUUUAAUUCGAAGGUACCCGAAAAACCUCACCAGGUCUUGACAUGCUUCUGCAAAGCUGUAGAAACACAGUGGAGGUUAUCAGUUGCACAGGUGGUGCAUGGUUGUCGUCAGCUCGUGUCGUGAGAUGUUGGGUUAAGUCCCGCAACGAGCGCAACCCUUAUUGUUAGUUACCAGCACGUAAUGGUGGGGACUUUAGCAAGACUGCCAGUGAUAAAUUGGAGGAAGGUGGGGACGACGUCAAAUCAUCAUGCCCCUUAUGACCUGGGCUACAAACGUGAUACAAUGGCUGUUACAAAGGGUAGCUGAAGCGCAAGUUUUGCGUUCGUGG